Molecule: ribosomal RNA, 429 nt
Filed under: Pseudomonadota bacterium
Lineage: Bacteria; Pseudomonadati; Pseudomonadota
Description: Proteobacteria bacterium partial 16S ribosomal RNA
Rfam family: Bacterial small subunit ribosomal RNA
Source: RNAcentral
UGGGGAAUAUUGGACAAUGGGCGAAAGCCUGAUCCAGCCAUGCCGCGUGUGUGAAGAAGGUCUUCGGAUUGUAAAGCACUUUAAGUUGGGAGGAAGGGCAGUAAGCGAAUACCUUGCUGUUUUGACGUUACCGACAGAAUAAGCACCGGCUAACUCUGUGCCAGCAGCCGCGGUAAUACAGAGGGUGCAAGCGUUAAUCGGAAUUACUGGGCGUAAAGCGCGCGUAGGUGGUUCGUUAAGUUGAAUGUGAAAGCCCCGGGCUCAACCUGGGAACUGCAUCCAAAACUGGCGAGCUAGAGUAGGGCAGAGGGUGGUGGAAUUUCCUGUGUAGCGGUGAAAUGCGUAGAUAUAGGAAAGAACACAAGUGGCGAAGGCGACCACCUGGGCUCAUACUGACACUGAGGUGCGAAAGCGUGGGGAGCAAACAGG